AUCCAGAUGACGAGUCCCAAAUAGGACGGAAUGCACAUCCUGGAU
Molecule: non-coding RNA, 45 nt
Organism: Trichobilharzia regenti
Lineage: Eukaryota; Metazoa; Platyhelminthes; Trematoda; Strigeidida; Schistosomatidae
Source: Rfam